This 74-nucleotide transfer RNA is filed under the name Muribaculaceae bacterium M3. RNAcentral describes it as "tRNA-Gln". It matches the Rfam family "tRNA". Rfam says of the family: Transfer RNA (tRNA) molecules are approximately 80 nucleotides in length. Their secondary structure includes four short double-helical elements and three loops (D, anti-codon, and T loops). Lineage: Bacteria; Pseudomonadati; Bacteroidota; Bacteroidia; Bacteroidales; Muribaculaceae. RNAcentral also lists the same sequence under 1 other name. The record is from RNAcentral.
UGAGCUAUGGUGUAAUGGCAACACAGCAGAUUUUGGUUCUGUUAUUCCAAGUUCGAGUCUUGGUAGCUCAACCG